ACUGCUUAGGAUGUUUUUAAUUUUAUUUGUAAUAUCAUCAACUAAAGAGCAGUUAAUGGAUUUUGAUCAAGCACAACAGCUGAGCCAGUCAGAAAGAAGAUACCUAUCAGCAUUGAAUAAGAGAAUUAGAAUGCAUGAGACAUGGAGUUUUCUACAUGAAUGCAAAUUAAACAAGGUUUAUCCCACCUCGAUUUUUAAAAUAAAACUACCCGUUAAAUCUAAAGAAGUCCUUCUGAAUACCAAGAGGAUUUGUUUAAAAGCAGCAAUCUCAGAUGCAAAACAGAACUAUUUCCGAGCUGUUAAUGAUGAGAUAGAUAGUAAAGAAUGACUAGCUGAAACCUCCGAAGAUGAUGAGUUCAUGCAGACAUCUAAUAGAAUUUAUGAAGCCAAAAGAGUUAACCUAAGAGAAAAAUACAUCAAAAAGAUGAAAUGGAUCUUCAGAACACAAAGAGUAAAAAAGAAUAAAACUGAAAUAAAGUUAGAAGACUAUAACAGUAAUAGGCAAAAUAGAGCUUCCACCUUUUAUGUAGAAGUUAAUCCAAAAAGGCCUGGCCUGUGCCACUCUACUCAACUUAGCACCCAUUGACGAGAUCCCAUACUUGGAAAACACCUUAGAUACAUUAAGAGGCAAAGAAGGAGAAAAACAGAAAUAUAGAUGGGCUUAUGCUAGAGAAAUCUUGGCUGAUUUUAGUCAAGUCCACAUGCAAUGUAACCAGUGUAUUUUACACCACCAAGAAACCGCAUUGAUCAAGCAAGCUAUGAACUGGCUGAACCAAAACAACUAUACAAUCAUGGGAGAAGACAAGACAAAGAGAAUGGUCAUUUUGGAGUGAAGUAAGUACAAUGUAUUCCCU
RNAcentral lists this long non-coding RNA (854 nucleotides) under Androctonus crassicauda. The record is from RNAcentral. Lineage: Eukaryota; Metazoa; Arthropoda; Arachnida; Scorpiones; Buthidae.